Molecule: ribosomal RNA, 303 nt
Filed under: Triticum aestivum (bread wheat)
Lineage: Eukaryota; Viridiplantae; Streptophyta; Magnoliopsida; Poales; Poaceae
Description: partial small subunit ribosomal RNA
Source: RNAcentral
AUGAAGUGCCUAGACAGUGUAAUAGCAAGGAAGAAGAUCACGGAAGAGGAACUCAUAAGACGCAGAAGGUGUGCUCUACUUGCAAAGCAGGCAAUUCAAGUGGAAGAAGGUGCAGCAGGUAUACGUGAUCCUGAGAAAGUUUCAACGAAGGGUGUACCUAAGAAAGGCCGGUCAAAGGGUGGCCCUGACGUUACGAAAAAUGGUAGACCUAAAGAUUUUAGAGAGAAGAAAAGUGGUCUGUUGUGCAGUCUUUGUAAUUUACCAGGUCAUAACAAGGCGACAUGUAGUCUAAACGAGAAGUAA